Molecule: long non-coding RNA, 1199 nt
Organism: Silurus meridionalis
Lineage: Eukaryota; Metazoa; Chordata; Actinopteri; Siluriformes; Siluridae
Exons: 2
Source: RefSeq, a predicted model, not a curated record
UUUGAAUCAGAGCUAAAUUGAUUUGGUUGUUUUGGUUCCCAUCAGAGUGCAAUUGCUAUGCUGUCAUUGUGUUCUCUUGGACUAAAAGUGUCACAUCAAGGAAGAACAUGUAACUGGGUUUGACUAAAACUAGCUAAACAGUGAAUUGAUAUUUUAUGUAAAAGCUGAUAAAAAUUUUCCUUCUAAUCGUUGUUGCUGUGUUUCAGGACUUUGGAACCAAAAAAAGAGAGCCGGAGGCAGCAUAACCAGAUAGAUGGAUGGACUCCUGAACUCACUCCUGGCGAGUCCUGAUAUCAAGUGCCACUCGAGAAGAGGCAUGGUUCUAAAUAAAACAAGCAUAAAACCCCACCCACCUCCCUAUUUUGAAAUUUGCUGUGCCACCCUGCUCUAAGGAGAACAUCGCUUAGCAUUCCUGUCCAGCUGAGGUAACCACCCUACUGUGAGAAGACCACCUGCCAGCCGAGGAUGAAACACCUUUCUCCCUGCUUUGAGGAGACAGCCUUCCUGUCUGACUAAGAAUGUUGCAUUGCCUCUGAUGAGGAUGUACCUGAGCUUUCCAGGUGAGGAUGUUCUAAACCUUCACAACAACAUGGAGGACAUGGGCAAGAGCCUGUUAUGUUCAUCCUUUUAUAUGACUCACUAUGCUUCCGGCUUCACUUUGGAUGUUCAGCCAUCUAGCUCAGCUGAAGAUGUCACUCCGCCAUCUUGUUUUGCUGAAGCUGUCACUCCACCAUCUUGUUUAGUUGAAAACGUCACUCCAUCAUCUUGCUCAGCUGAAGAUGUCACUCCAUCAUCUUGCUCAACUAAGGACAUUGCUUUUCCAUGCUGCUUAGCUGAGAACUUCACUUUGUGGACAUGGCUCUGGCCCACAGAGCCCUCUCUCAGGACUAUGGUCACAAAAUACAUUUCUGAUCAGCUACUGCCCUUCACAGGUCACAUGUUUGCACACCUGAAUCCCAUUGUCUAUUAAUUAACAUUUCUCAAAGACUCAGUUUGCCUCUCCAUGGUUUUUAUUUAUGCUUGUUUUUGCAGCCUUGUUCAAAGUUUUUUUUUGUGUGUGUGUGUUUAGUUUCAUUGUGUUUGUUUUGUACAUGUGAGUAUUUUUGCACUUGUAUCCACUCCCUACAUAUUACAUGACACUGUGUAUCUAGCUCUGUGCAGUACAUUAUUCACAUUAGCAUUAAAUCUGAAUUGAUGUA